UUUAUUUCCAGCUUUAUUCUUUACAAUUUUAAAAUAAAUUAGAUACAUUUGAUGCUCAUGAAUACGGAGGAACUACAGCAGUAGCCAGAGGUAAGCUGGGAUUGGACAAGCUUAAUCAAAUAGCUAUGGAAAGCACCUACAUACUGACAUGUGCUGUUCUCAGAUUAUCCCACUUGUAAAUUCCAUUCUAGAAAGUACUGCCUGCUACUCCAAAUUUCCCCAUAUGCUGUCUCAGGAAAAGAACUGUGUUUUCUUAUAGUGAAUGGUUACACAUAGAGCUAGUCUAAUCCUCCAAAUAGCCAAAGGCGAACCUGAUUAAUUACAUUUAAGAUUAUUUAAAAGAAUACUAAAAUUAAGUCACAAGUAAAUGCUGUUCAUACUUGUUCAAUAAUUUGCCCAUGCAAAUCAUCGAUAAUCUCCACCCAUUAAAGUUCAACUUGAGUCUAGAUGCUUGAUAUUCUUUUAUUAAAGUUCUUUAGUAGCCCUAAAGUGUUCAACCCUUUUGUAAAAAGUUACUAGUUAUUACAGCAGAGCCCUAAAAUUAGUAUUGAUACCCAUAGUUCACAGCCACCUAAGUAAAUGGCUAUCCAGACAAUUUCAGCCUUAAUUCAAUUACACUAUACUGAAUGAUACAUUGCUAAUAAAACCUGACUGGAGAGUCAGUAAGUGUCCUUGGUGAUCUUAAUUGGAAUCAUUCAAAGUCCCACCUAUAAAUACAUUGUUAUCUUUUUUUAAAAAAGUAGUAUAAAAAUACUUUUGGUGGUGCUAAGUUUAUCUGCAAAGCCUUCUUACAAUGUGUCCACAGGACAAUAGUUCUGGUUCACAGUAAGGCUAUCAUUUUUAAGAGAAC
Molecule: long non-coding RNA, 850 nt
Filed under: Homo sapiens (human)
Lineage: Eukaryota; Metazoa; Chordata; Mammalia; Primates; Hominidae
Description: HSALNT0032617
Source: RNAcentral